Small nuclear RNA from Trichechus manatus latirostris (Florida manatee), 104 nucleotides. The record is from RefSeq and is a predicted model, not a curated record. NCBI's taxonomy places the organism in Eukaryota, Metazoa, Chordata, Mammalia, Sirenia, Trichechidae.
AUGCUUCCUUUGGCAGCACAUUUACUAAAAUUGGAACGAUACAGAGAUCAGCAUAGCCCAUGCACAAGGAUGACACAAAAAUUCAUGAAAUGUUCCACAUUUUU